UGUGUUUCCUUAUGUCGUUCUUCUACUUAAGUUGCAAGUUGAGGUCCUUGACCUUUUCGAGAUUUCUGAAAUUAUUUUAUUAGUAUUUUUGCUUGAAUUACUUCUUUUUCAUCUUUGUACUCGAUUGAAUAUGAAAACCCUAAAAUUUGGUGUUUCGUACGAGUUAUCAGACUAUUUACUAUGUGAUUUACUUGUUCUUUAUGCUCUGCAUUCGAUUUAUUUCAAAGCCCUAACUUCUUUGGACCUAUUCAAGCUUCUGAAGCCGCUUCAUCUGUUACUCGACUAGAUUUUAAACCCUUUUCGUUUCAACCUCUGUUUCUUUAUGUGAUUUUAACUUCCUGCUAUCAUUGGAACUGGACGAUGUUUUGAGAAAGGUCUUUUUACCUGACCUUUUGCAUGCUUCUAAUACUCUCUCUUUUCUAUAUUAUUGAGUUGUUGAAGUCAAUCUAUGUGAGUACCAUGUUUCGAUAGUUCAUUAGCUGCUGACUUUGUGUUUGCUUUGCAUGAUGCUUCUCUUUGUCAUGAGUUUAGCCUCGCAUGUCUAAUUUUUAUGCACUCUUAUAUAUGCUAAGUUUCCCUCACAA
This 584-nucleotide long non-coding RNA is filed under the name Nicotiana benthamiana. Its description in RNAcentral is "long non-coding RNA (NBEN_LNC032819)". The record is from RNAcentral. Lineage: Eukaryota; Viridiplantae; Streptophyta; Magnoliopsida; Solanales; Solanaceae.